AUGCAGCCUGUCCAGCUGUGUCUUGAUUUUGGAACCAUGAACCUCAGAGCUGCUCUGGUGGAGAGCAUCAUGCUCAGCUCCUCCUGGAGCAUCUCCCUGCUUCUCCCAGCUGCCACCCUCUCCAUCUCCAUCUGAAGAAUGAAACAGAUUUGGCCUCAUUCUCUGAUCUUGUGAAAGCUCACUCUGUGAAAUCACUGUCUUAAGGGGGUGGACUGUACAUGAGCCCAAGGCUAGCCCCUUGGCCCAGCCCUUCCCUGCACCUGGCUGCAGAAACUUCUAGAAGUAUAGUCAACCUCGGGGGCUUCAAGAAAGGAGGCUGAGCCAAGGUCACAGGCAGGAGGUGGACUGGCCAACAGGAAAAUGGAGAGAACAAUGGUCUCCAUGUUCCACCGGGGCAAGAGCU
RNAcentral lists this long non-coding RNA (403 nucleotides) under Heterocephalus glaber (naked mole-rat). Its description in RNAcentral is "lncRNA (ENSHGLG00100040323.1)". Lineage: Eukaryota; Metazoa; Chordata; Mammalia; Rodentia; Bathyergidae. The record is from RNAcentral.